Molecule: ribosomal RNA, 467 nt
Filed under: uncultured bacterium
Lineage: Bacteria
Description: partial 16S ribosomal RNA
Rfam family: Bacterial small subunit ribosomal RNA
Source: RNAcentral
GAUGAACGCUGGCGGCGUGCUUAACACAUGCAAGUCGAACGGAAAGGCCCAAGCUUGCUUGGGUACUCGAGUGGCGAACGGGUGAGUAACACGUGGGUGAUCUGCCCUGCACUUCGGGAUAAGCCUGGGAAACUGGGUCUAAUACCGGAUAGGACCACUUCUUGGAUGUUGUGGUGGAAAGUUUUUUCGGUGUGGGAUGGGCUCGCGGCCUAUCAGCUUGUUGGUGGGGUAAUGGCCUACCAAGGCGUCGACGGGUAGCCGGCCUGAGAGGGUGUACGGCCACAUUGGGACUGAGAUACGGCCCAGACUCCUACGGGAGGCAGCAGUGGGGAAUAUUGCACAAUGGGCGCAAGCCUGAUGCAGCGACGCCGCGUGGGGGAUGACGGCCUUCGGGUUGUAAACUCCUUUCGCUAGGGACGAAGCGUUUUGUGACGGUACCUGGAGAAGAAGCACCGGCUAACUACGUG